AAAAAAAAAAAACAAAACAAACAAAGGCUGGAAGAAUCCUUUAGCUUUCAUCAAGUUGCCCUGCACUCCAAGAAGAAAAGCUUUCUAAUGAAGGAUACAUGCGUGGGGCCUUGUGGCAUCAUUUCUCUCUUUUCUUUAAUUUUCUUUCUUCCUUGAAACUUAAGGUAAAAGAAGAGUUGAGAAACAUCAAAGAUCCUUUUUUCCCUUUUUCUUUGUUUUAUUUCCCCAGGAUCCUCAGCAUGGUCAAAUCGCAAAGCACAUGAUGUGAGACUGUUCGAAAGAACACAAGAAAGGAGAGGAAACUCUAAUGAGGUUGGUAAAUAUGGACAUAGGAAAAUGCCAAAGGUGUUGGUAUUCUGAUUAGUUAGGUCACGGGCAAGAAGCGAAAUCACCACUUGGUUCUUUCUUGAUCAAGCAGUCUUCUUAAUUAUUUUUCUUUUUCCCUUCUGUGUCUUUGGUAACUUCUUAUCAACUGAAAAUUUGGUAUUCUAAGCAAUUAUUUCUAACAAGGUUCACAAAAUGAAAGGCGAAUCCUCUUCAUUUUUAAACAACAGAAACCAGCUUAUCCAUGGGGAAGGGACACAGUGAUAAGAGGAAAGCUGUAUCUUCUAAUGAUUGAUAUGCAAAACAAAUGAAGACGUCCAUCGGUUCCACAAUGUGAACUUAGGAAAGACAAAAACGCGAAAAAGAAACAAGUAAUUAAAUUGAAAACAUAACACACCGGUAAUCACUUAAUUUUCUGAUUCUAUUUUGCGUUGGAGGAAGAGAAAAAAAAUUUAGAGAGACCCAAUUGGAGAAGCUUGAAUGGAUGAAGUGAUCAAAUAGACAUUUCAGACGUACAAAAUAGCUACAAUGAGCAUUCCCAUGGUCAUAUCAAGAGGCCGAUAACAGAAAAAACUCAUAGUACUCAUUCAUCAACCCACUCUGUGAAGCAGUCUCGAGGGAACGGCGAACCUUGCCGAGAAAGACCGUGAUAGGUUCUCCGGCUCGACGGAUGCCGAUCCUUCAUCGAAGUUCUGGGCAUAUGUGUAUGGAUCGUAAGGAGCCUGCAUCGGGGCCGCCGAGUUUAAGAUCCUCCUUUUCUCCUUGAUGAUCCUCCGCCACCACCCUCGCCACCUCCUUCCGGUGGCCCGGGCCGAUGGGUACUCCAAGUCGUCGGCGAAUGUCCGGGUGAAUCCGGAGCUCCUCCGGCGACCGUUGCACCAGCUGCCGACGUCGAGAACCGGGUAUGCACAAGAUCUCUGCCUCUGGAACUCUCGACCGUAAUCCAUGGCAAGCUUGUGCUAGUGGCGGGGUAUGGCCAUAUUUAUAUAUAUUAUAAGCUCUUUGUGGUAUUUGGAUUCGGAUGGGGAUGAAAUAAGUUGUGCUUCUUUGGCCCAAAUUGGGAGCUAACUGUUGGCGUUAUCAGACGGUUGGUAUUUAAAUGUUGCACUCCGUUGGCGUGGCUGGUCUGCCAGUACUGAUGGAACUAUUCAAUGUUCCACCUGUUCUUUGG
This 1495-nucleotide long non-coding RNA is filed under the name Elaeis guineensis (African oil palm). RNAcentral describes it as "long non-coding RNA (EGUI_LNC016037)". Lineage: Eukaryota; Viridiplantae; Streptophyta; Magnoliopsida; Arecales; Arecaceae. The record is from RNAcentral.